AACGAACGCUGGCGGCGCGUCUUAAACAUGCAAGUCGAACGAUCUGUAGCAAUACAGGGAGUGGCGGACGGGUGAGGAACACGUAGGAAUCUACCUUGAAGAGCGGGACAACUUUGGGAAACCGGGGCUAAUACCGCAUAGUACAGAGAUGUUAAGGGGCUAGCAAUAGUCGCUUCGAGAUGAGCCUGCGGUCUAUCAGCUUGUUGGUGAGGUAAUGGCUCACCAAGGCUACGACGGAUAGCCGGUCUGAGAGGAUGAUCGGCCACACUGGCACUGAGACACGGGCCAGACUCCUACGGGAGGCAGCAGUUAAGAAUCUUGCGCAAUGGGGGAAACCCUGACGCAGCGACGCCGCGUGAAGGAUGAAGGCUUUCGGGUUGUAAACUUCGGUAGACUGGGAAGAAGAAAUACGUUCGUUGAGGGCGUAUAGUGACGGUACCAGUCUGAAGCCCCGGCUAAUUACGUGCCAGCAGCCGCGGUAAU
This 483-nucleotide ribosomal RNA is filed under the name uncultured bacterium. RNAcentral describes it as "bacterial SSU rRNA". It matches the Rfam family "Bacterial small subunit ribosomal RNA", at positions 29 to 524 of the family's 1533-position model. The record is from RNAcentral.